GUAUUUUGAAUUGUUUUAUUCAUAAUAUUUUUCAGACAAAGAGUUGAGAUAUAGUUGAUGUUUGGGGCUGAUCCUCUCGAGAGAAAAUCAACCCUGACAUUGCACACAAGGUGGAUAUGGAUUUAAAAAAGUGCCAUAAAACACUUAUUAUGAAUGAUCCUUCCGCAGGUUCACCUACGGAAA
Molecule: unclassified non-coding RNA, 183 nt
Filed under: uncultured fungus
Lineage: Eukaryota; Fungi
Description: sequence contains ITS1
Source: RNAcentral